This 423-nucleotide long non-coding RNA is filed under the name Androctonus crassicauda. The record is from RNAcentral. Lineage: Eukaryota; Metazoa; Arthropoda; Arachnida; Scorpiones; Buthidae.
UGGAAAUUGGAUCAACUACGAUAAAAUAAUGACGUUCAAACGCCGGAUUAAAUCGAUUAUUUCUGAUUCAGCGUACUUGUGAAAACUCUCAGUUGAGAGAAGAGGCGCACUUAUAAAAAUAUAGUAAUGCAUAUAAGAGAGAAGGGAACGUACUUACCGGCCUGGCUGUACGGCGAUCGGAAGGAAACAAGGACUUGUGAGCUAUCCGGAUUACCUAACCUGUCCAACCAUGGCCAGUCGGGAGGGUUGUCUGGCUGGAUGAAUCCCCGCGUGAAUCUCAUCUAUCUGUCUGUCUAUAAUUCUUUUGUUGCAAUCAUCUAUUGUCGCCAUAAACUCGAAGUGUAACGAAUGCAUUUUAGCAGUUUUACUUAUUAUCGUCGAAUUUUUGCAAACAUUAAAAGCGUCUAGAGACAAACCCGAUCG